CCCAUAUGCUUUCGAGGGUAGUGGAUUUUCCGCCUAAAGAGAAGCUUGCGGCUGAUUAGCUUGUUGGUAAGGGAAUGGUUUACCAAGGCGACGAUCAUUAUCUGGUUUGAGAGGACGAUCAGACACACUGGAACUGAGACACGGUCCAGACUCCUACGGGAGGCAGCAGUGGGGAAUUUUCCGCAAUGGGCGAAAGCCUGACGGAGCAAUACCGCGUGAGGGAUGACGGCCUAUGGGUUGUAAACCUCUUUUUUCAGGGAGGAACAAAAUGACGUGUACCUGAAGAAUAAGCAUCGGCUAACUCCGUGCCAGCAGCCGCGGUAAGACGGAGGAUGCAAGUGUUAUCCGGAAUCACUGGGCGUAAAGCGUCUGUAGGUGGUCAAAUAAGUCAACUGUUAAAUCUUGAGGCUCAACCUCAAAAUCGCAGUCGAAACUAUUCGACUUGAGUAUAGUAGGGGUAAAGGGAAUUUCCAGUGGAGCGGUGAAAUGCGUAGAGAUUGGAAAGAACACCGAUGGCGAAGGCACUUUACUGGGCUAUUACUAACACUCAGAGACGAAAGCUAGGGUAGCAAAUGGGAUUAGAUACCCCAGUAGUCNAGCUGUAAACAAUGGAUACUAGAUGUUGGACAGAUCGACUGUGCAGUAUCAAAGCUAACGCGUUAAGUAUCCGGCCUGGGAAGUAUGCUCGCAAGAGUGAAACUCAAAG
This 706-nucleotide ribosomal RNA is filed under the name uncultured bacterium. Its description in RNAcentral is "bacterial SSU rRNA". It matches the Rfam family "Bacterial small subunit ribosomal RNA", at positions 170 to 906 of the family's 1533-position model. The record is from RNAcentral.